CCUACGGGAGGCAGCAGUGGGGAAUUUUGGACAAUGGGGGAAACCCUGAUCCAGCCAUUCCGCGUGAGUGAAGAAGGCCUUCGGGUUGUAAAGCUCUUUCGGCAGGAACGAAACGGCGGACUCUAACAUAGUCUGUCAAUGACGGUACCUGAAGAAGAAGCACCGGCUAACUACGUGCCAGCAGCCGCGGUAAUACGUAGGGUGCGAGCGUUAAUCGGAAUUACUGGGCGUAAAGCGUGCGCAGGCGGCUUGGUAAGACGGAUGUAAAAUCCCAGAGCUUAACUCUGGAACUGCCUUUGAUACUGCAGAUCUCGAGUUUGGGAGAGGCGAGUGAAAUAUCUGGUGUAGCAGUGAGAUGCGUAGAUAUCAGAUAGAACACCAAUGGCGAAGGCAGCUCCCUGGCCCAAUACUGACGCUAAAGCACGAAAGCGUGGGGAGCAAACAGGAUUAGAUCCCCCUGUAGU
Molecule: ribosomal RNA, 464 nt
Filed under: uncultured bacterium
Lineage: Bacteria
Description: partial 16S ribosomal RNA
Rfam family: Bacterial small subunit ribosomal RNA
Source: RNAcentral